GCUUUGGAGUUUCAUGAUUCCUAGUUUACUAAUUGAAAAUUACAAGUUCUGAAGUUCAAUAUUUCUGGAAAUGCCAGGGUUCAUAAAGUUUUUUUAAUGUUUUAAAUGUUGGCUGCUUUUCAGUGUCUUCAACUGCAAUAAACUUUAAAAUGGAGACAUUGAAAAGGUUCUGGAUAAAUGGUUCUUAGGCCUAUAUUUCUGUAAGAUGUUUGAAUUUAAGAUAGUGGUGUCCAUUUCUUCUUUAAAAAUAGUAUUUUGCUCAUUUGUGUAACCAUUACAGUGAGUAUGAAAUAGCUAAAAAAAUAGAAGAUAAAUUGACAAAACCUUUCUAAAAGGUGUUGAAUCUUCUACAAAAGAACACAUACACCAUUGCUUCUUUAUUCAUUGAAACUUUUUCUAAUCCUAAUCCCCUCAAAAGUGGUGCUUCAGUUUUUGAACAUGUCAGCUUCCCCAACUUCCUCUUUUAGUUAAAAAAUUGUUUUGAAAAAUCAGGAGAGAUUGAUAAGGAAACUUGGCAAAAGUCAAGGGGAAUUUCUACAAGCACUCUGCUUAAAAUUCUAGAUUUAGUACAUUUGUGAAAAUUUCUCUCAGGAUCACUUCUUUUUAAGAUUAGAAAAAAUGAACAAUA
This is a non-coding RNA of Notechis scutatus (mainland tiger snake), 628 nucleotides long. Lineage: Eukaryota; Metazoa; Chordata; Lepidosauria; Squamata; Elapidae. The record is from RefSeq and is a predicted model, not a curated record.